CUCAGGGCCAUUUAAACAAAAACAGGCACCUCUGUGGCAAUGCCAUUCGAAUGUGCUUGGUACUUCUGGGACGGGACCCAGGAAGGGGGGUCGAGAUUAAGCUGCUUAUCACAAGGAACAUAUGAAAAUUAGUGGAGACAGACCAGUCAGUCCUCUAUGCGGCCUAAGACGCUGCUGAGCUGGACAGGGAGUCCUCCGCACUUCUUGGUGCUCAGUUCUGAGGUACUUGAGGUCUUUGCAGCACAUAAAUCAGAGGAACUGUCGCAAGGGUGGAAGGGGGCAGAACCAACCAACUGUAGUAGGACUCAUUCCCAGGGGAUCCCAGUGACAGGCAAGGCAGAGCUUCUUAGCCUGGCCAGAGCACAUGAAAACCCUGGGAACCAAGAUGCCAGGGCUACGCAUGUGGGACCAGGACUGAAUGCUGAGCCCACACUCCUGGGAGCACCUAACCUCUUUCCCCCAAAACUGGGGUCCUGAGUCCAAUCAGGACAACAUCUGCAGCAAACUUAGAGAACAGCGAGUCGGAGAGCCCCUCCAGAGAGCAAUGAAGCAAAACAGAUGCUGUCUUGUACUGAGACCUCCUGUGCUCCUGCGCUCCUCCACGGCCCCGGAGCCUGGGAAGCUUCAAGUCUGCGGUCAGUGGGGACUAGGAGGGGUGGGAGUGGGGGCUGGAGAGAGAGCUUGUUGGGCUUUGUGGUACUGUAGGGGAUCACAGAGCCCAGGGAACCUGAACAGGUAUUCGAGAGUCGCAGGCAGCUACGGACAGGCCACAGUAGCUUUCCCUUACGUUGCUCCAUCCUUACAUCUGUUGGUCAGUGUGUCUGAGCCUCUCGGUGGGCUAGAGCUGUCUUCCCAGGUCUGGUGGUUACAGAGUUGAUGCCUGGGCCCAGAGGUCUCUUACUGAGUCUGAGGGAAUGAUCAGCAGACAACUGUUGUUGAAGGGCUUGAGAUCUGAGAGAGAGAGAGAGAGAGAGAGAGAGAGUAAAAAAGAAAAGAGUCGGGGUUGGGGAUUUAGCUCAGUGGUAGAGUGCUUGCCUAGCAAGCUCAAGGCCCUGGGUUCGGUCCCCAGCUCCAAAAAAAAAAAAAAAAAAAAAAAAAGAAAAGAAAAGAAAAGAAAAGAGAACAUCUCAGGUUUUAAUAAGAUCCAAAUGGAGGAAGUUUGGGAGCAGGAACAGGGCCUUAGAGUGUAGAGCUAGUGUUCUGUAAGUUCAGAGCCUAGAUUUUAAGUCUCUCCCUGCUGAGCAGGGUUUUGGAUACCGUAACCAAGAUAGAGACCCUUAUGGGUAGAGCCCCUAGAAGGAGGAAGACAGAAAACAGGUGUCUCCAGGGUGAAAGGGAGUCUGAGGAUUUAGGAUUGGGGUGGGGACGGGAGAGAUGGAGUACUGGGUGCCAUUUGGGGUAGUAGGCCCGAAAGAAGCACUGUGUGAAUGAAGAACCGAGCAGGUGAGGGUAGGGGGUGCCUGCAGUUCUCUGCUGUCCUGGAGCCCAGCUGUGCACCUAUGGGACGAUUCUCCAAGUCUGGAGGGACUGAGAGCAGUGAAUGCUUGAGGGGACAUGAGGCUGGUCAGGCCGGGCCCUAUGGUGUAACCCUCAAAGCCACUCUCACCUAGCUCUGCUUUGGUUCUCCCCACCAGAAUCCAGAUCCUGCAUCGUCCCUCAUCAUAGGGUGUUAUGAGUUGAGGUGCGUCCCCCAAAGGUAGGUUGAUGGGCUACCCAGGAAUCUUAUGUAGCUGUAUUUGCAGACGUAAUUGAUUAAAAUAAGGUCCUUACACACCAGAGUGUCCCUGCUCAGCUGGUGCCCGAGGAGAAGAGAAGGCUUUGUGGAGAGGGGUAGGGAGGAGUAAUCUAAAGGUACAAACAGAAGGAAGAAGCACACUGGAGACUGCAGGGUGCACUCUGUGGAGGGGUUGAGGCCCUGCCACACCUCCGCUGAGGCUCUUGGUCCAGCAAUAAUCCCAGCACUCGAGAUAGAGGCAAGGAUCAAGAAUCGGCUCUUUAUUCUCUAUUCUGUUAGAAAAAGGAAGGCCAGCCUCAGAAAUAAAGAACUGCAGGGGAGGAGCCCGUCUCAGUGAAGGAAUAAAUGAAUCAUGUCCUAGCCUCCAGAAUGGAGAGAGCAUACAUUUCCAUGGUUUUAGGUUUCCUGGUAGUUUGCCGUGCUGGAAGCAGAUACAGCAUGGUGUACUUUCGUGCUGACAAAGGUAGUUCUUCAGGUCAUAGCCUUGUCCAAGGCUCAUAGGUACGGGCUCAAUGGA
This 2252-nucleotide long non-coding RNA is filed under the name Rattus norvegicus (Norway rat). RNAcentral describes it as "long non-coding RNA NONRATT032857". The stretch from base 1006 to 1074 matches the Rfam family "tRNA". Lineage: Eukaryota; Metazoa; Chordata; Mammalia; Rodentia; Muridae. The record is from RNAcentral.